Molecule: long non-coding RNA, 208 nt
Organism: Balaenoptera musculus (blue whale)
Lineage: Eukaryota; Metazoa; Chordata; Mammalia; Artiodactyla; Balaenopteridae
Exons: 3
Source: RefSeq, a predicted model, not a curated record
AACCCGUGCCCCCUGCAGUGGAAGCACACAGUCUUAACCACUGGGCCACCAGGGAAGUCCCUAGACAUGCAAGGCAAUGUUACCAAAGAGGCCAACUUCUCGUGGACCAUCUAUGGACCAGACUGCCCCUUGUCCACAAUUCAAAGUCUCCAGGAAGACAUAGCACCACAAAGGACUUGAUAGAAAUAUACCAACAUGGGGACUUCCC